UAUACAUUCCACUGUCAUUUAAUUUCUUUGAUUCAUUCAUAUUUUUCUUGGAUGUGAAAAAAUGGGAUGAACUUAUUAUACAAGCAGUUUCAAUUUUUAUAAUAGAUAUAUAUUAUCCAAAUCUUAAGUUUUCAAUGAAUAUAAUGUGUUUUUGUGUAGGAUGAACUAAAGAAGCAUAUGAUAGAGGCAGAAACCUCAGAAAACCCACAUGCCACAAUAGGUUCUACAAAUUGGAAGAAUGACAUAUUCUCAAAAGUGAAAGGGCCUGAAAAAAGAGGACGUGUACGUUGUCUUGGUAAGCUUCCACGACGUGUAAAUUCAAAUGUUUCAUCUGAAAACUCCAAUGCAGAAAAUAGAAUACAAAAGUUAGAAAAGUUGUUGGGAAAUAUUGUUGUGGUCUUUCAAAGAAAAUUUUCAGAAGAUCCAGAAAUCAAUAAUGUUUUACAUGCUGUAGCUCAAGAGAUACCUGAUAUUGCAAAUACUAAAGAUUUCUGUUAGAUCUUGAUGACAGUAGAGACUUGGUGAAGGUACAAAAUUAUACACUAAUCGAACACUGUUGGACUUCUUGUUGAAACUUUGAAGCAUAGAAAAUACUUCUAUGACUAAAGACCUUUGUGGCAAUAAGGAUAGAAAACUUAUUUGGUGCUUUUGUGGUUUUGAAUUCAAUAAAAUAAAAGAGAAGAUUUUAGUAUAGAGAUAAUAUUUCUUUUAGAGCAAACUAUGAGCUCAUUAUCGCUAUCCAAUAUAUCUGAAUGUUUGAAGAA
This is a non-coding RNA of Cajanus cajan (pigeon pea), 764 nucleotides long. NCBI's taxonomy places the organism in Eukaryota, Viridiplantae, Streptophyta, Magnoliopsida, Fabales, Fabaceae. The record is from RefSeq and is a predicted model, not a curated record.